AUUGAACGCUGGCGGCAUGCUUUACACAUGCAAGUCGAACGGCAGCGGGGACUUCGGUCCGCCGGCGAGUGGCGAACGGGUGAGUAAUGCAUCGGAACGUGCCUAUCAGUGGGGGAUAACGCUUUGAAAGGAGUGCUAAUACCGCAUAUUCUUUGAGGAGGAAAGCAGGGGACCUUAGGGCCUUGCGCUGAUAGAGCGGCCGAUGUCGGAUUAGCUAGUUGGUGAGGUAAAGGCUCACCAAGGCGACGAUCCGUAGCGGGUUUGAGAGGAUGAUUCGCCACACUGGGACUGAGACCCGGCCCAGACUCCUACGGGAGGCAGCAGUGGGGAAUUUUGGACAAUGGGCGCAAGCCUGAUCCAGCCAUGCCGCGUGAGUGAAGAAGGCCUUCGGGUUGUAAAGCUCUUUCGGACGGGAAGAAAUUGCAUGGGCUAAUACCCUGUGCGGAUGACGGUACCGUAAUAAGAAGCACCGGCUAACUACGUG
RNAcentral lists this ribosomal RNA (484 nucleotides) under uncultured bacterium. RNAcentral's name for it is "bacterial SSU rRNA". It matches the Rfam family "Bacterial small subunit ribosomal RNA", at positions 30 to 507 of the family's 1533-position model. The record is from RNAcentral.